CUCACUAGUCUCUUGCCUGGCUUUUAAAACAGGAAGCCGAUCAAUAAACAAUAAACCCGCACAGCUGAUAGAGUUGUGCGGGUUUUUGUUUGUAAUUUUUAUGCUUUUAACCGGCUGGUGUCCGUCAACCGAAGCCGUUUAAACGUAACCAUAAAAGGGUUUAGAACAAGGUUGGUUUUGCUCCACCCUGCAACAAUUGGCCUAAAAAUGUACUGUCUUUGCCGCCCGUUGGGGUUGUUCGCGAGAUGAAAUCAAAUACUUUUCCAUCCUGCAGGCCAUAAUUUGCCAAUCGGCUAACCUGGCUUUCUUCAUCAAAAUAUACGGCAAAUACCCUCUGGUCU
RNAcentral lists this ribosomal RNA (341 nucleotides) under uncultured eukaryote. RNAcentral's name for it is "partial small subunit ribosomal RNA". The record is from RNAcentral.